UACAGAGGUGGCAAGCGUUGUUCGGAAUUACUGGGCGUAAAGGGCGCGUAGGCGGCCCGAUAAGUCCCGCGUGAAAGCCCCCGGCUCAACUGGGGAACUGCGCGGGAAACUAUCGGGCUUGAGUUCGGGAGAGGGAAGCGGAAUUCCGGGUGUAGCGGUGAAAUGCGUAGAUAUCCGGAGGAACACCGGUGGCGAAGGCGGCUUCCUGGACCGACACUGACGCUGAGGCGCGAAAGCUAGGGGAGCAAACGGG
This 253-nucleotide ribosomal RNA is filed under the name uncultured bacterium. RNAcentral describes it as "partial 16S ribosomal RNA". It matches the Rfam family "Bacterial small subunit ribosomal RNA", at positions 524 to 776 of the family's 1533-position model. RNAcentral also lists the same sequence under 1 other name. The record is from RNAcentral.